GGAGAAGAGCUGUGGCUCAGUGGUCAGAGCAUCUGCUUAGCAUGCGGAAGCUCGCAGGUUCAAUUCCUGGCAUCUCCA
This is a non-coding RNA of Podarcis lilfordi (Lilford's wall lizard), 78 nucleotides long. The record is from the annotation of a GenBank genome assembly. NCBI's taxonomy places the organism in Eukaryota, Metazoa, Chordata, Lepidosauria, Squamata, Lacertidae.